This 301-nucleotide ribosomal RNA is filed under the name uncultured bacterium. Its description in RNAcentral is "partial 16S ribosomal RNA". It matches the Rfam family "Bacterial small subunit ribosomal RNA", at positions 509 to 807 of the family's 1533-position model. The record is from RNAcentral.
CAGUAGCCGCGGGAACACGUAGGGUGCAAGCGUUAAUCGGAAUUACUGGGCGUAAAGCGUGCGCAGGCGGUUAUAUAAGACAGAUGUGAAAUCCCCGGGCUCAACCUGGGAACUGCAUUUGUGACUGUAUAGCUAGAGUACGGCAGAGGGGGAUGGAAUUCCGCGUGUAGCAGUGAAAUGCGUAGAUAUGCGGAGGAACACCGAUGGCAAAGGCAAUCCCCUGGGCCUGUACUGACGCUCAUGCACGAAAGCGUGGGGAGCAAACAGGAUUAGAUACCCCAGUAGUCCCUGUCUCUUAUAC